GGGUAGGCCCCUCAGUGAAGA
Molecule: microRNA, 21 nt
Filed under: Mus musculus (house mouse)
Lineage: Eukaryota; Metazoa; Chordata; Mammalia; Rodentia; Muridae
Description: mmu-miR-7224-5p
Source: miRBase by way of RNAcentral